AUUGAACGCUGGCGGCAGGCCUAACACAUGCAAGUCGAGCGGAUGAAGGGAGCUUGCUCCUGGAUUCAGCGGCGGACGGGUGAGUAAUGCCUAGGAAUCUGCCUGGUAGUGGGGGAUAACGUCCGGAAACGGGCGCUAAUACCGCAUACGUCCUGAGGGAGAAAGUGGGGGAUCUUUGGACCUCACGCUCUCAGAUGAGCCUAGGUCGGAUUAGCUAGCUGGUGGGGUAAAGGCCUACCUAGGCGACGAUCCGUAACUGGUCUGAGAGGAUGAUCAGCCACACGGGAACGUAGACACGGUCCAGACUCCUACGGGAGGCAGCAGUGGGGAAUAUUGGACAAUGGGCGAAAGCCUGAUCCAGCCAGGCCGCGUGUGUGAAGAAGGUCUUCGGAUCGUAAAGCACUUUAAGUUGGGAGGAAGGGCAGUAAGUUAAUACCUUGCUGUUUUGACGUUACCAACAGAAUAAGCACCGGCUAACUACGUG
RNAcentral lists this ribosomal RNA (484 nucleotides) under uncultured bacterium. RNAcentral's name for it is "partial 16S ribosomal RNA". It matches the Rfam family "Bacterial small subunit ribosomal RNA", at positions 30 to 507 of the family's 1533-position model. The record is from RNAcentral.